RNAcentral lists this long non-coding RNA (2821 nucleotides) under Pan troglodytes (chimpanzee). RNAcentral describes it as "long non-coding RNA NONPTRT006150". Lineage: Eukaryota; Metazoa; Chordata; Mammalia; Primates; Hominidae. The record is from RNAcentral.
AGGCCGGCUGCGGUGGGCACAGUGUGGGUCUGUGUGGAGCCCCCCCUCGGCCUGCCCGGGGGGCAGCCAGCCCAGGUGCCAACAGAGGGCCCGUGUUCCAGCUCCCAGGGAAACAGGGCGCCCUGUGUCUGUGGAGGGACAGACAGGGCCUCAGAGGGACGCGCCAGGAGCCAGCAAGUCUGCCGGAGCGACCACGCGGAGCUGUCGGCCACAGGGGCCUGGGCGGCCCUUCCCGGGGGGCUGUCCCAGGGACUCUGCUGUUGGUGGGGCCCAGCCCUGUGGCACAGCUCAGGGGCGGACAUCUCAGGCAGCGGCAGUUGUGGGAACCCGAGGGAUCCAUCGCCUAGGAAAGGCUGGUGCCACGGGGUGCCCCUGCCCAGCCUCUGCAAGGGGGAGACCUGAGGAGCCAACAGCCCUCCAUGCCCCCUGCCCGGAACCCUCCCGUGCGGCUGUCCUCCCCAUAGUGGGUCCCGCAUCCCACAGCCCCUCCUCCCGGGCUCCUUCACCCCGCUCCAGGCUCCUCUUGUCCCAGGGCAGCUGUGUACCACUGGUCUCCCGGGGACCCCGUAGUGGGGCUGCAGGUCCUGGUCGAGGGGGGCAGGGCAGGAGCCCACAGCAGGAGUGACUGGGCACCCCGUUCAUGGGACCCACAGCCCAGAGACUCCGCAGCACUGUCCUGGGACCACGGGAAGGGCCUGCAAGAGCCCUGGAGCAGACACCCUCAUCCUCCGUUGGGGAUGGCAGCUGUGACUUCCCAGGGGACCUGGGGGCGGGGUCACAGGGCAUGUGGGGUCAAGUCACACAGCAUGAAGUGGACCAGGGCCGUCAUUAAGCGAACAGUUUGUGGUGUGGAGUGCACUUCCAAGGCCGUGCAUCCACCUCCCCUCCAUCCAGCCCAUUUCCAUCUUCCAGACAGAGCCCCUAGCCCCAGGGAAUCCAUUUCACGCCUCUGUGGGUCCCUGUUCGGGACGCUUCAUAUAAACGGAAUCACGGCCCUCAGCCCUCCCAUCGGGCAUGUCAGCUUCUUCCCUCACGUCUGAACUCUCCACAGAGUCUGUGCGAGACGCCCAGCCCCCGGCUGCCUGUGUUCUGUGUGACAGAGGGUCCCACCUGCCGGUGUGGGGCAAUGGGGCCAGUGGCCCCCACACGUGUCAGGCCGAUGCCUGUGGUCAGGAAGUCCCCUGGGGGCGGAGGCCUGGGCAUCUGAAGGGGUGCUCAGGGGGUGGGAGUCAUGGUGUGAUCUGCCCUCCCCAUCUCGGCCAGCCUCGGGGGCCUGUCACUGUGGAAGGCAGGUCUGCUACCACCUCUGGGUACCCCACCAAGGUCACAAAAAUAGGGGGGCCCCUGGACCCAGCUGGGGGCCCCGAGGACCCACUCCAUGGAGCCCUUGGCUCUGACCCGUGAGUGUCCAGCCCUGCUCAGGGAGACCCCCUCAGCCAGCAGGCAGAGGAGCCCUAAUGGUGGGGGUCCAGUCUCUGGAUCCAGGUUCCCAGAGACGUCCACUCACCUGGGGCGGACAGGUGACCUGAGGUCGGGUUGUGACAGCCUCGGCUGGAGUGGAGCCUGCACCCUCUGCAGACCCAGAGUCCGUCACACCUGACCCUUCCAAGGCUGGGUUCCCCUCACCUCAUCAGUCUUUGGCAGAUAGUCCCAAGGCCUCACCACACUGAGCCCAUCUCCCCCAAAUGUCUGGGGCCCCUGUGUGAUCAGGGCCGUGGGGCCUUUACACUAGCAACCAGUGCCAGCACCCACACGGCAACCCCCUGGCUCUCCAGGGCCUGCUCUGCGCCCUGACACCAAGCUGCCCCGGUCCCGCACCAGGCCCUCAGUGUGGGUCUGCUGGGUCAACUGUGGGCCUGGGGGAAGGGAGAGGCACCCUGGAGUCCCCAGAGCAGCCUCCCUGGCUGGGUCAGGCCCUCAGCCAUUCUCACUGCAGCUUGGAGGUCUCAGACUGCCCAGGUCCUCAUCUGAGCAGGAAGGUUUGGGAGAAUGGCGGCUUUGGAGCUUUAGAUCAGCAACACACAAGAAUACCACAGACGGCGGCAGCUGGCCCACAGUGGCAGAAAAGAAAGCUUCCUCGUCAAAACAGUAUCGCAGCAGCAUGGAGACCUAGAGAUAAACGGGGCAUAGUAACCAUCCGAGAAAUCGUCCCACAUGCGGCCAGGUACCGUCCAAUGAGAACAACAAGAGAAAUCGUCCCACACACACGGCCAGGUACUGUCCAAUGAGAACAACCCGAGAAAUCAUCCCACACGCGGCCAGGUACCGUCCGACGAGAACCCGAGAAAUUGUCCUACACACAGCUAGGUACCUUCCGACGACAACGGCCAGAGAAAUCGUCUCACAUGUGGCCAAGUACCAUCCGACGACAACAACCCGAUAAAUCGUCCCACACACGUGGCCAGGUACCUUCCAAUGAGAACAACCUGAGAAAUCGUCCCACACACGCGGCCAGGUACCCUCUGACGAGAACAACACGAGAAAUCAUCCCACAUGCAGCCACGUACCCUCUGACAAGAACAGCCCGAGAAAUCGUCCCAUACGCAGCCACGUACCUUCCAACGAGAACAGCCCGAGAAAUCGUCCCACACGUGGCCAGGUACCAUCUGAUGAGAACAACCCGAGAAAUCGUCCCACACGCGGCCAGGUACCAUCCGAUGAGAACAACCUGAGAAAUCGUCCCACACGCGGCCAGGUACCUUCCAAUGAGAACAACCUGAGAAAUCGUCCCACACACGCGGCCAGGUACCUUCCAAUGAGAACAACCUGAGAAAUCGUCCCACACACGCGGCCAGGUACCGGCUGACUAGAACAACCAGAG